Long non-coding RNA from Malania oleifera, 725 nucleotides. RefSeq lists it as uncharacterized. NCBI's taxonomy places the organism in Eukaryota, Viridiplantae, Streptophyta, Magnoliopsida, Santalales, Ximeniaceae. The record is from RefSeq and is a predicted model, not a curated record. The transcript is spliced from 2 exons.
CUUCAGCUUCCCCGUGUUGCGUUAUUUGUGAGGGGCAGACCAGUUCAGCUUCUGUCUCUUCACAUCCAACUCACUCGCCCUUUCUUCUUUCUUCCACUUUCUUAUCAUCCCGUUUCUACCAUAAUCCACGCUAUCUCUCUCGCCCUCUCGCUAGGAGGCUCUCUUUGCAGCUCCCUACUCUAAGAAGUCCCAUGCUCUCGGCCGCAUAAUCGUCCUCCGACGCAUCCACCUCCUCGGUUGCUUACAUUAGGGUUCUUGCCGACCUCCAUUCGUGCUUUUACAUUGCCAUCACCCUAUCAAAAUUUUCGGCAUGGCUGACACGCACAUGGAGAGUACACGCAGUUCGUGAUUACUGGCACUACCACUUUCAGAUAUAGAGCCUUUUUUUCAUAACUUACGCAGACCAAAAUUGGGGUUUGGGCAAAGUUGGUAAUAGCAUUACCUUAAUUGGAGCCCGAAAAAUGAAAUCCUUAACAACGCUUUGGAGCUCACUAGCAAGUGGAUCACAAUGUUCUGCUGAAUUUACCAGUGUUUCAGCUGGAUCUUCUAUCUAUCGGCCAUCGGUAAAGAAUGUCCAUACAUUAUUCAUUGAGGUCGUAAACUGGUUUAAUUGUGAAUUACUUUUCUUAAUCCCCUGUAAUAAUUUACUUUUUCUAUUGAUUUCUUAAGCAGUCAUUGUUGAAUUUGGUGGAUUGUGUUUAAGAUUUGUUUGUCGGCGUCGGCUA